Molecule: long non-coding RNA, 548 nt
Filed under: Bos indicus x Bos taurus (hybrid cattle)
Lineage: Eukaryota; Metazoa; Chordata; Mammalia; Artiodactyla; Bovidae
Description: lncRNA (ENSBIXG00000014782.1)
Source: RNAcentral
CUUUGAGUCAGGUUCCAUGGUAAAGCACAGAGGUAGGUGAGGUAUGAAAACAUCCCGUAACUGACCCAUAAGAACUUUUGAUACUUCCUCUUGUUGGCUGGAACGUUUCCACAUAGGUCAAAAAGAGGAAAGGAGAAAGUCCCAGGUCGCCAGUGGUUGUAGAGCUUGGAACAACCUCCAUAUACAGAGAACAUAAAGUCCUUUGACUCAGGACAAAAUGGAAGCUGAAAGUUCCUUAAAGAGGCUGCCUAAUUGACACUCUCAUCAGUCACCAAUAAAAGGGAAGGCGUGGCAGAAGACUCGAGGAUGUCAGAAAGAAGCACAACCUGAGUAGAGGUUGUUGGGGAGCAAGAAGACACUCCGAAUACGAGGUGGAAAGGGGGAGCCGGGAGCAGGAGAAACCGGACUUCCCUUUUAUGUGUUGCUUCAUGCCUCUGCUGGUGAACAGCAGGAGGAGAGAGAAAUGGCUGACUCCAAACCCACAGUUCCUGCCCUGGAGUGAAAUAAAAUACUCCGAGGCUGGUGUUUCAAUUGGUGCAAGAUUCUGA